This 396-nucleotide ribosomal RNA is filed under the name Felimida fentoni. Its description in RNAcentral is "partial 16S ribosomal RNA". It matches the Rfam family "Archaeal large subunit ribosomal RNA", at positions 2000 to 2655 of the family's 2987-position model. The record is from RNAcentral. Lineage: Eukaryota; Metazoa; Mollusca; Gastropoda; Nudibranchia; Chromodorididae.
AUGAAUGGCCGCGGUACUCUGACCGUGCUAAGGUAGCGCAAUCAAUUGGCCCUUAAUUGGGGUCAGGAAUGAAUGGAGUUACGGGGUACAGCUGUCUCUUUACUAGUUAUUUGAAGUUACUAUAUAAGUGAAAAAGCUUAUAUUGAGAAAAAGGACGAGAAGACCCUUAGAGUUUUACUUAGUGUGACAAUUGUAGUUGAGUUUUCAUAAUGGUUUAGUUGGGGCAACAUGGGAGCAUAAAUAAUAUUAACCUCCUGAAUAAAAUUAACCGAUAAUUUUAAAUUUGGAUAAACUACCUUAGGGAUAACAGCAUAAUUUUAAAAAUAAGUUUGUGACCUCGAUGUUGGACUAGGAAACUUAAAGGCUAGCCGUCUUUCAGGGAAGUUCUGUUCGAAC